This 1337-nucleotide ribosomal RNA is filed under the name Trichobilharzia querquedulae. RNAcentral describes it as "eukaryotic LSU rRNA". The stretch from base 803 to 955 matches the Rfam family "5.8S ribosomal RNA". Lineage: Eukaryota; Metazoa; Platyhelminthes; Trematoda; Strigeidida; Schistosomatidae. The record is from RNAcentral.
GUUGGUGUAGGUUCCCUAGAUCAAAACACCAAAGCAUAUAAACCCGAAAGAUUAAAUAUGAUUAUGAGAGAAAGAAGUAUACAUGGUGGUAUCGUUCCAUGACGUAGACAUGUGGCCUUGUGCUAUGUGCACCGUCGGGACGAAUCAUGCAUGUUGAGAAGAUCUCGGUGGUCCGUUGAUGUGUUGUUUGGCUUGAGCAACCAUUCAGCACAAAAGAGUGAAAUACUCUUGACGACUGAGAGGGCAGUCGAUAAUAAGGAUAAUGGUGGUCCUUAGAUGAGUGUUGUUUUGGCUUGGGCAACCAUUCAGCACAAAAGAGUUAAAUACUCUUGACGACUGAGCUGGGCAGUCGAUAAUCGAGUGAUGGCUGAAACCGCGCAGUCAAUCAUUCAUAAAGAACUGUUGCUAAACUGAAACUUAAAGGAAUUGACGGAAGGCAGCAAUGCAUUAUAAUUCUUUGACCGGGGUACCUAGCCUGUCAUAUGCUCUGAUGGUGUUCUCGUGACUUUUGUUGCCAGAUCUGCCAAGGGCGAUGGGAUAGUACGCGAUCUAAUGGUUGUGUGCAAGGUUUGAAGAAGGCUGUGUGCUAUAUGCAUGCGCCUCGCCCUGAUAAUGUUUACUUCAUUUUACACUGUUUAAGCGAUCCGGUUUGGCUUGCCAUUCACGGGUUUGCUGCUCCGCAUGCACCUGGCUUUAAGCUGGACUGCAUGUACGCUGGCCUGGUAGACUUGCGCCCGGGUUGCAGCCUCGAACCUUUAGUUCUAUGCAUCUGGGAAACCGGUGUGUAGGAUUAUUGGAGUACAACUUUGAGCGGUGGAUCACUCGGCUCGUGCGUCGAUGAAGAGUGCAGCCAACUGUGUGAAUUAAUGUGAACUGCAUACUGCUUUGAACAUCGACAUCUUGAACGCAUAUUGCGGCUACGGGAUAUCCUGUGGCCACGUCUGUCCGAGGGUCGGCUUUCCAUCUAUCACGAUGCACUUUAAGUCGUGGAUUGGGCGAGUGCCUGCCGGCGUGUAUACCCGUAUAUCAACGCGGGUUGCUGGUCUAAGGCUCUGUCCGAAUUUGUCCGGCCACAGCCUAGUCUGGUGUAGAACUUCUGAUUGAGUCGCCACGGUGGGUUGUGCUCGAGUCGUAGCUUAAUGAUAUAAAUAUAUAUAAACGCUCGGGAGUACAUGACCUAUCGUGAAUACCGUUAUAUAUUAAUAAACGGCUUGAUUGGAGGUCUAUGCAUAGUCUAUGGUUUAACCGAGAAUGUGUUAUGCACAUUAUAAAUUUUACCCUGACCUCGGAUCAGAUGUGAAUACCCGCUGAACUUAAGCAUAUCAAUAAGCGGAGGA